RNAcentral lists this ribosomal RNA (33 nucleotides) under Pratylenchus goodeyi. RNAcentral describes it as "partial 28S ribosomal RNA". Lineage: Eukaryota; Metazoa; Nematoda; Chromadorea; Rhabditida; Pratylenchidae. The record is from RNAcentral.
UCAGGUGUGAUUACCCGCUGAACUUAAGCAUAU